Molecule: ribosomal RNA, 468 nt
Filed under: uncultured bacterium
Lineage: Bacteria
Description: partial 16S ribosomal RNA
Rfam family: Bacterial small subunit ribosomal RNA
Source: RNAcentral
GAUGAACGCUGGCGGCGUGCUUAACACAUGCAAGUCGAACGGUGAAGGCGGAGCUUGCUCUGCUGGAUCAGUGGCGAACGGGUGAGUAACACGUGAGCAAUCUGCCCCUGACUCUGGGAUAAGCGCUGGAAACGGCCUCUAAUACUGGAUACGAGCUGCGAAGGCAUCUUCAGCAGCUGGAAAGAAUUUCGGUCAGGGAUGAGCUCGCGGCCUAUCAGCUUGUUGGUGAGGUAAUGGCUCACCAAGGCGUCGACGGGUAGCCGGCCUGAGAGGGUGACCGGCCACACUGGGACUGAGACACGGCCCAGACUCCUACGGGAGGCAGCAGUGGGGAAUAUUGCACAAUGGGCGAAAGCCUGAUGCAGCAACGCCGCGUGAGGGACGACGGCCUUCGGGUUGUAAACCUCUUUUAGCAGGGAAGAAGCGAAAGUGACGGUACCUGCAGAAAAAGCGCCGGCUAACUACGUG